GAAAUCUUAGUAUAGUUAGUAUAUCUUGUUGUCGAUGAGGAGGGGGAGGUUUUGG
This 55-nucleotide transfer RNA is filed under the name Ascaridia sp. GHL-2013. RNAcentral's name for it is "tRNA-Asp". Lineage: Eukaryota; Metazoa; Nematoda; Chromadorea; Rhabditida; Ascaridiidae. The record is from RNAcentral.